GGCCGUGAUGAGCAUUGCUUACUUCUGACACCUCUUGUAUGAGAAGGGACUUGUCCCUUCCAUGAGCAGAUCAAGCAACCCUCUGAGCU
Molecule: small nucleolar RNA, 89 nt
Filed under: Brachypodium distachyon (stiff brome)
Lineage: Eukaryota; Viridiplantae; Streptophyta; Magnoliopsida; Poales; Poaceae
Description: snoRNA snoR1
Rfam family: Small nucleolar RNA snoR1
About the family: snoR1 is a member of the C/D class of snoRNA which contain the C (UGAUGA) and D (CUGA) box motifs. Most of the members of the box C/D family function in directing site-specific 2'-O-methylation of substrate RNAs.
Source: Rfam by way of RNAcentral